Molecule: long non-coding RNA, 406 nt
Filed under: Haliotis rubra (blacklip abalone)
Lineage: Eukaryota; Metazoa; Mollusca; Gastropoda; Lepetellida; Haliotidae
Description: uncharacterized LOC124274777, transcript variant X2
Source: RNAcentral
UGGCACCGGUCUCAUGAGGAUCUGUCUGUAUAAGAACAAAGUGUCGGCUGAGUGUGAAGAGCUGAAGAAACUGAAUGACAUGAUGGCCGCUAAACAUCCGUUCUACAAACCGCCGGCCACACCUGAUGGGGAGGCGGUGUGAGAGGUGUCAAAAUUUAAGCAAAAUGGAUCGACACUUGUAAACAACACAAAUUCUGACUGAGGUCAUCAAAAUACCAAAAAUGCUGCUUUAUGACUUUUUGAUCGAGGGAGCUUGAAACAGAACCUUACCACGAUGAUGCUGAUGUAUUUGCAUGUUUCUAUAGUAAAACAGUGUGCGUGUGUUCAGAAUUCAUGCUGUGAUGGAAUAAUUGUGAUAUAGAGAAUGUAAAUAUUCUCAAAAUGAUAAUAAACCUGUUUGCCUUUA